This 120-nucleotide ribosomal RNA is filed under the name Mustela putorius furo (domestic ferret). Lineage: Eukaryota; Metazoa; Chordata; Mammalia; Carnivora; Mustelidae. The record is from RNAcentral.
GUCUACCACCAUACCACCCUGAAUGCGCCCAAACUCAUCUGAUCUCAGAAGCUAAGCAGGGUCGGGCCUGGUUAGUACUUGGAUGCGAGACCACCUGGGAAUACCAGGGUGUUGUAGGCU